This 681-nucleotide long non-coding RNA is filed under the name Trifolium pratense (red clover). RNAcentral describes it as "long non-coding RNA (TPRA_LNC006200)". Lineage: Eukaryota; Viridiplantae; Streptophyta; Magnoliopsida; Fabales; Fabaceae. The record is from RNAcentral.
UCCUUGGAAAAGAAAAAGAAAAAUAGGGACCAACCUAUAACAUAGAGAAGAAAUAAAAAAAGGAAAUUAGAAAUGAACAUAACCAAAAACUAAAUUAAUGAAAUAAAAUAGUAAAUGUUUUUUUUAACUUAUAUAGAAACUCUAAAAUCAUGAUGUAGGAGUACCUCUGUGUUUUUGUGAUUUUCUCCUUUUACUCUUUAAUCGUCUCUUUGGUUACAAAUCUGCACUAUAAAAAAAUAUACAAUUCUUUGCAAUCGGCAUUGGUCGUAUGUCACAAAUUUUGAUUUGAAACCAACUCGUAUAAAAUAUGUAAAAUCUGGAGAAAAUUAAACAACUACAAAAAAAUAAUCAACACACAAUAAUAAGAAAUAAGUUGCAAAAAAAAAAAGAAAUAAAAGAGUGAUAGAGAAGUUGUUUUAUUGUAAAAAACAAUGAAAAUUAAAUAUAUGACGCUCGUGUGUGAAUCCUUCCGCAUAUCAAAUUAUCUAUUCCGGUAUUCUUGAAUUUUUAAGGGCCAAAAUGAACAUUUAAAUCAAAAAGUGUGUGCAAAAAAAAUAGAAGAAUAUAACGAGUGAGAAAACCAAGAAAAAAGAGAAUUAGAUUUGUACCGUACGUUAGCCACCGUUAACAUGGGCGCUGCGUCUUGUCCAUCAAUAUGGUUGUCUAUUAUGGACAUGUAUA